GGGCUCACUUUAGUAGCACAAAUACUAAAAUUAGAAAAGUAAUAGAGUAGAUUAGCAUGGUUGCUGAGCAAGGAUGACAUGCAAAUUCACAUAUAUAUGUAUAGCUAUG
Small nuclear RNA from Gracilinanus agilis (Agile Gracile Mouse Opossum), 109 nucleotides. The record is from RefSeq and is a predicted model, not a curated record. Lineage: Eukaryota; Metazoa; Chordata; Mammalia; Didelphimorphia; Didelphidae.